This 331-nucleotide long non-coding RNA is filed under the name Mus spicilegus (steppe mouse). RNAcentral describes it as "lncRNA (ENSMSIG00000026295.1)". Lineage: Eukaryota; Metazoa; Chordata; Mammalia; Rodentia; Muridae. The record is from RNAcentral.
AUUUGAAGCCUUUGUUUUCUUUUUCACUGUGACAUUGACUUUUUAUUUAUUUUAAUUGUAACUAUUUAUGGCAUAUGGUGAGGUGUUCCCGAGUACUUACUAUUACAGUGCUUUUGGGUGGGGCCCAGGGCUCUCUCAGCUUGUUUGGAGCUGCACGGAACUCUGGCAAAGACUGUCAAGGUCAAAGCAAUGGCACCUUAAUUCAACUUCAGCAUCCUUCAAUGUAAAUGUGACCUUGGAACAGUUACACUCCCAAAGCCAUUUGUUGGCUCAAAUUCUGAUAGGGUCCAACUCAGGCUGAUUGCAGUGUCCUGCUGAACUGUCUCUCCAG